AUGUUAGAAUCAAUUCCAACUGACAUGUUUGGGAAAUUUCAUUUCGUUGAAGAAUUGUCUAUAACCUAUUGUCCAAACAUCCGCCUCCAAAGAUUGGUUUCGCCGUCCCUCAAAAAGCUCUUUCUGUGGGAUUCUAGUCCCUUUUGCAAUAUUGAUUGCUGCUCCCUCAUCUCCUUUGAUUUUCUAUCUGACUCUGUCGUGUCCAUUGAACUACAAACAUGGAGUCUUCCAGCUCUACGGAGGUUGAAAAUUCGCUGUAAUUCCAUUUCUACGGGCACUGGUUGCAUUAGACCAUUCUCGUCCCUUGCAGCCCUAGACGUUGAGUUAUAUGGUAAAUUGUCAAGCCUUGAUGACCUCCUAACACAAGAAUACCUACCUGCUAUUGAGGAAAUUGACGUCAAAUGUUGUCCUGGGUUACUGUCCCUGCCAGUUGAAAGGUUUGUGGGUUUUCCUCAUCUGAAACAUCUGGUGGUUAUUAAUUGCCCAAGUCUUAACUGGCAAAGGGGGCUGGUAUUGCCAUCAUAUCUCCAAAGGCUAAGCUUAAGGAACUGCGGGGAUAUCUCUCCAUAUGUUCCCAGCUGCCUACAGAACCUCACAUCCCUCAUCUCUCUGAGCAUUGGUGGGUGCCAGGGUAUAACAUCCAUUCCAGGUGACAUUUGGAGAGGUAAUCUUGCAUCACUUGAGGAACUUAGGAUUUGGGAAUGUCCAAACCUAGUUUCAUUUGGUGGAGCAGAGGCAGUUGCAUACAUAAAGAAGGUUCAGAUAUACAAAUGUCCAAAGUUAAAGGAAGCAGAUCAAAUCGUUAGAUGA
RNAcentral lists this ribosomal RNA (810 nucleotides) under Triticum aestivum (bread wheat). RNAcentral's name for it is "partial small subunit ribosomal RNA". The record is from RNAcentral. Lineage: Eukaryota; Viridiplantae; Streptophyta; Magnoliopsida; Poales; Poaceae.